UACAUGCAUAUAUGUAGGUUAAAGAAAGGC
This 30-nucleotide non-coding RNA is filed under the name Mus musculus (house mouse). The record is from RNAcentral. Lineage: Eukaryota; Metazoa; Chordata; Mammalia; Rodentia; Muridae.